AGUAACACGUGAGUAACCUGCCCUUGACUCUGGGAUAAGCCUGGGAAACUGGGUCUAAUACCGGAUACGACCAUCUGGCGCAUGUCAUGGUGGUGGAAAGCUUUUGUGGUUUUGGAUGGACUCGCGGCCUAUCAGCUUGUUGGUGGGGUAAUGGCCUACCAAGGCGACGACGGGUAGCCGGCCUGAGAGGGUGACCGGCCACACUGGGACUGAGACACGGCCCAGACUCCUACGGGAGGCAGCAGUGGGGAAUAUUGCACAAUGGGCGCAAGCCUGAUGCAGCGACGCCGCGUGAGGGAUGACGGCCUUCGGGUUGUAAACCUCUUUCAGUAGGGAAGAAGCCGUAAGGUGACGGUACCUGCAGAAGAAGCGCCGGCUAACUACGUGCCAGCAGCCGCGGUAAUACGUAGGGCGCAAGCGUUAUCCGGAAUUAUUGGGCGUAAAGAGCUCGUAGGCGGUUUGUCGCGUCUGCUGUGAAAGACCGGGGCUCAACUCCGGUUCUGCAGUGGGUACGGGCAGACUAGAGUGCAGUAGGGGAGACUGGAAUUCCUUGGUGUAGCGGUGAAAAUGCGCAGAAUAUCCAGGAGGAACACCGAAUGGGCGAAAGGCAGGUUCUCUGGGCCUGUAACUGACGCUGAGGAGCGAAAGCAUGGGGAGCGAACAGGAUUAGAUACCCUGGUAGUCCAUGCCGUAAACGUUGGGCACUAGGUGUGGGGGACAUUCCACGUUUUCCGCGCCGUAGCUAACGCAUUAAGUGCCCCGCCUGGGGAGUACGGCCGCAAGGCUAAAACUCAAAGGAAUUGACGGGGGCCCGCACAAGCGGCGGAGCAUGCGGAUUAAUUCGAUGCAACGCGAAGAACCUUACCAAGGCUUGACAUGAACCGGUAAUACCUGG
Molecule: ribosomal RNA, 895 nt
Filed under: Arthrobacter sp. SSRB24-2
Lineage: Bacteria; Bacillati; Actinomycetota; Actinomycetes; Micrococcales; Micrococcaceae
Description: bacterial SSU rRNA
Rfam family: Bacterial small subunit ribosomal RNA
Source: RNAcentral